This is a long non-coding RNA of Daphnia magna, 2097 nucleotides long. RefSeq lists it as uncharacterized. The record is from RefSeq and is a predicted model, not a curated record. NCBI's taxonomy places the organism in Eukaryota, Metazoa, Arthropoda, Branchiopoda, Diplostraca, Daphniidae. The transcript is spliced from 2 exons.
CAAGAUUUGUGUGUGACCGCAAAAGUGAAACAAAAACAAACGACGACAAGAAACGCGAAUAACAUGACCAUCGGGAAAGAAAAAAAAAACCCAACGCUCUCCUACCAAAUGACCAUGGCUUUUUUUUUUUUUUUCAAUUCGUCCCUUUACACGAGAAAAAUCCGGGCAUUUUCUCUCCACUGGGCGCAAUCAGCGAGCCUCUCAGCGGACUCGAAACAGGAGAGAGUCGAGAGAAAGAAAAAGAGGGAGAAAAGCUAUUAUAUCGCUGCUAGCACAAGCAUUUAAAACAACAAGAUAUACAACAGAACAAAAAACCGAAGGGUAAUUUUCUUUUGAAAUUCAUAUGGGUCAGUUUUUUUUCUUCUUUCUUUCUGUGCUUUCAGCAACGCGUGGGACCUAAGAAGCUUUCUCUCUCGGGGCGAUCCGACCGGAAUGACUAUAACCCAUCACUAAGAGAACGAGCAAGAAUCCAGCCUAACAACAAAGCGCGCAUUCACACACACACACACAAAAUAAAACCGAUCGUGCUGAAUUGUUAAGUGCGCAGUAUCACAUAGAUAAAGAAAGAAAGAACAAAAAAAAAAAAACAAGGAGAAAAGAAGAAAAUGAGUAUAGCGUGUAGUUCGGAAAUGAUGGCAGCCCAAAUGAAUUGAGGUUGAUUUGGAAGUGUAAUCACAUUGGGGAAAAUAAUUUAAAGAAGCUAUAGAAGGAAAACAAAAAAAAUGGUAGCGAGAAACAACGAACGAGAAAGAGAGAAAGGAGUUUAAGAGCCACGCUGUUGUUGUUGUUGUUGCAGCAGCCCAAAAUGUCCGAACGAUCGUAUAAGGAAAUCGAGGUCAAGCGACUCACGCGUCUUUUUUUUUCGCCCGAAUGCGGAAGGGAAGAAAAAAACGACGUGAACGCACGAAAUAAAGGUGUGCGUUUUGGCUGUGAUUUUUCUCUACCUCCGACAGAAAAGAAAAAAAAAGAUUUACUAACCGACAGUGAGAAAGCCAACAUGCAAAUUAGGAGCAAAAAGAAGUCGACUUCUUUUUUCGCUUCCUUUUCGGAGUUAUUAAAAACCAGGACAUGUCAACAUAAUCAUUCAACAUGUUGCCCCCAUGCGUGAACUGUUGCUCCUGAAUUUAAAAAAAAAUAAUCUCUUUGUUUUGUGUUUCUUGUUGCGUUUAAAAAAAAAAGGGGGAGAAAAAUGGAAUGAAAAUGAGAAGAAGCGUAUCCGAACUUUCACCUCUGUCAGUAGAUCAACGCCCCAUGUUGCCGCAAGUGGAUUUUGGAAGAGGGAAAAAAAAUAAUAAAAAAUGAGAAGAGGGGAUUUACAGAACAUUCUUGGCAUUGUCAUCACGCUCCUCCCUUCUCUCUUACACGAGCUGAAUCACGGAGCAAGGUGGCUAGCUGUGUGUGUACGCGCUCUUUCUCUAUCGAGGCUAUAGCAACGCCCGUGGGCAGCUUUUAAGGUAACCGGCCGACCGUUUUCUUUCCUAUUAGUCCCGGCGACUGAGUUUUAGUUAGUCUAUAAUACAAUGAGCUGAAACGAAGAAGGCGGGAAGAAGAAAUAGAAAGAUUAGAAAUCAAAACACUGAGCGCCAAAACGCAAACACAGAAACUUGUUUUCCUUUCUUUCAUGAAUGGCUAUCCAUCCAACUACGUGUUUUUACACACAUAUUCCCGACAGGUUGCCCUUUUCUUUUUGAAUGCCGGGCAGGUACAUAAACACGCAGUCCGGGACCUACCCCCCCCCCUCAGGAUUUCGCCAUUGUCGGUCAAGUCCUUUAAAUAGCAUUCAGGUUGGCAAUAACCAGGAGCGGGAAAAACGACCAAACGCGGACGGAAGACCAAUCGCUGGAUCGUUCUUUCAAUCGGUAACACCAUAAAAAAAAAAAGGCUAUUGGAAGAAAAAGAAAAUACGCAAUAUUCAUAUUUUUAUUUUUUAGGGUCAGCGCAGAUUCUCUUUUUCUUUCGAGUCUUUUUUUUUUUUUAUUAUUCCUCCGUGUCCCGAACCACAUUCCAACCUAGCCUUUGUGCAACAACACUUAUUAUACAACACAAAGAAGAUGAGGGAAUGGAGAAUGUUAGUCGUAAAAAAAAAAAGGAGAUGGA